GGAGAGGUGGCCGAGUGGUCGAAGGCGCUCCCCUGCUAAGGGAGUAUACGCUAACCGCGUAUCGUGGGUUCGAAUCCCAUCCUCUCCG
Molecule: transfer RNA, 88 nt
Filed under: Dichotomicrobium thermohalophilum
Lineage: Bacteria; Pseudomonadati; Pseudomonadota; Alphaproteobacteria; Hyphomicrobiales; Hyphomicrobiaceae
Rfam family: tRNA
About the family: Transfer RNA (tRNA) molecules are approximately 80 nucleotides in length. Their secondary structure includes four short double-helical elements and three loops (D, anti-codon, and T loops).
Source: Rfam by way of RNAcentral